AAAGCAGGUUGCAAUUACGGUGCUUCAUUUUGUGGAAGUACUGCCAUUACCCUGCUAAAAGAAAAGGCUGUGUUGGUUGGUUUUGAUUUUGCCUUUAUGAGGGUAAAAUCAUGACAGAUUGGCAUGGACAGUU
This is a small nucleolar RNA of Cavia porcellus (domestic guinea pig), 133 nucleotides long. RefSeq annotates it as small nucleolar RNA SNORA69. The transcript has a single exon. Lineage: Eukaryota; Metazoa; Chordata; Mammalia; Rodentia; Caviidae. The record is from RefSeq and is a predicted model, not a curated record.